Long non-coding RNA from Clupea harengus (Atlantic herring), 706 nucleotides. The record is from Ensembl. Lineage: Eukaryota; Metazoa; Chordata; Actinopteri; Clupeiformes; Clupeidae.
UGUGUCUAAGAAAGUUAACUAUGUGUGUAAUGUGUUUUAUAAAUUGAAAACUUAAAAGAAUGACAAUUAGCUUAUAGUGUUGCAGAUUUGGUGUGGGUUUUCCUGUUUGAGUGGCAUCUUCAGAGAUCGUGCGAUAUAUAAAUAUUUUGAUAUAAUUUAAUAUUUUGUGUGUAGGUAGUUGAAAAUAACUGAACUGUAAAUGCUCUCCCUGGCUCUCUGCUUUCUCGCGCCUAGGUACAUUUACAUUUUACAUUUAGUCAUUUAGCAGACGCUUUUGUCCAAAGCGACGUACAAGGGAGAGAAUAUUCAAGCUACGAGCAAUAGAACCUGGUGUAACAAUAAAUAAAUACUACUUUACAUAAGAAAUAUAACAAAAUGAAAUAAAAAAGAAAGAAAGGUAAUGUAUAUAGGACUACUAGGCAAAGGGCAAUAGGUAAUGUAUAUAGCACCACUAGGCAAAGGGGCAAUCCUGGGCAAUCACUCUGCUUCAUCCAAGCCCUCCCUGAAGGACCCCCCUGAGAUAUGGGCACCUGGCCUGCAUUCACCGCCGCUACGCUACUUGCUGUAAUUUGAAUACGGAUCAGCGUGGUUCCCCUGCAGUGUUCCAGUGCGCUGGAGCCAACCAUCACAGGGGGGACAAUAAUUUGACUGAUGAACAAUCAGGUUAUCGCAAGGUCAUCAGCUCAUCACCAAGAGGUCUAGUGCU